GAUGAAGAACGUAGCGGAAUGCGAUAAGUAGUGUGAAUUGCAGAAUUCAGUGAAUCAUCGAAUCUUUGAACGCACAUUGCGCCCCUUGGUAUCCCGAGGGGCAUGCCUGUUCGAGCGUCAUUUCACCACUCAAGCCUGGCUUGGUGUUGGGCGACGUCCUCUUUGGGGACGCGCCUCGAAACGCUCGGCGGCGUGGCACCGGCUUUAAGCGUAGCAGAAUCUUUCGCUUUGGAAGUCGGGGCCCCGUCUGCCGGAAGACCUGCUCGCAAGGUUGACCUCGGAUCAGGCAGGGAUACCCGCUGAACUUAAGCAUAUCAAUAAGCGGAGGA
This 329-nucleotide unclassified non-coding RNA is filed under the name soil metagenome. RNAcentral describes it as "partial contains 5.8S ribosomal RNA, internal transcribed spacer 2, and large subunit ribosomal RNA". The stretch from base 1 to 120 matches the Rfam family "5.8S ribosomal RNA", at positions 35 to 154 of the family's 154-position model. The record is from RNAcentral.